Molecule: ribosomal RNA, 254 nt
Filed under: uncultured bacterium
Lineage: Bacteria
Description: partial 16S ribosomal RNA
Rfam family: Bacterial small subunit ribosomal RNA
Source: RNAcentral
UACGCAGGGUCCAAGCGUUGUCCGGAUUUAUUGGGCGUAAAGAGCUCGUAGGCGGCUCAGUAAGUCGGAUGUGAAAACUCGGGGCUCAACCCCGAGACGCCAUCCGAUACUGCUGUGGCUUGAGUCUGGUAGGGGAACACGGAAUUCCUGGUGUAGCGGUGAAAUGCGCAGAUAUCAGGAGGAACACCGAUGGCGAAGGCAGUGUUCUGGGCCAGUACUGACGCUGAGGAGCGAAAGCGUGGGUAGCAAACAGG